This 1681-nucleotide ribosomal RNA is filed under the name Avagina marci. RNAcentral's name for it is "SSU rRNA". It matches the Rfam family "Eukaryotic small subunit ribosomal RNA". Lineage: Eukaryota; Metazoa; Xenacoelomorpha; Acoela; Isodiametridae. The record is from RNAcentral.
AUGCAUGUGUAAGUUCAGCUAUUUUAUAGUGAAACCGCGGACGGCUCAUUAAAUCAGUUAUAGUUUGUUUGAUAAGGAUAUAUAUGGAUAACUACAGUAACUCUGUAGCCAAUACAUGCGAAAAUCCUUGCUUUCAAUGCAGGGAUACAUUUUUAUGUGAGAUGGAUCUUCCUGUUACUGGGGAGUUUAUUGUGAGUAUAUGUAAUUGAUUCACCUAUCUUUGCCAACGAGCAAUAGGGGGUUUAAUAAAGUUUCUGCCCCAUCAACUUUCGACGGUAGUGUAUUGGACUACGGUGGUUGUAACGGGUAACGGGGAAUCAGGGUUCGAUUCCGGAGAGGGAGCUUGAGAGAUGGCUACCACAUCUAAGGAAGGCAGCAGGCGCGUAAAUUACCCAAUUUUGGAAUGAAGAGGUAGUGACAAAAAAUAACGAUACAGUACAUUAUGUAUUGUGAUUGGAAUGGAAUGAAUGUAAAACAUUCUUUGAGGAGCUAGUGGAGGGCAAGUCUGGUGCCAGCAGCCGCGGUAAUACCAGCCUUCACAAGCAUAUACAAAUGUUGUUGCGUUUAAAAAGCUCGUAGUUGAAUUUGUUGUGAUCCGUCCUACACACUCGCAGUUGCGGGGUAGGAUUGACACCAUCAUGUUGUCGAGUUUGCUUGCGCUUAGUUGUGUUGAGUAAACGAGAUAAAUGAUUUACUUUGAGAAAAUUUGAGUGUUUAAAGCAGCCUUUGGGCAUGAAUGCUGUAGCAUGGAAUAAUAGAAAAUGACUGCGUACUCGUUUUGUCGGUCUUGAGAUAUGUAGUAAUGAUUAAAAAGGACAGGCGGGGACAUUCGAAUUGUUGCGUUAGAGGUGAAAUUCUUGGAUCGCAGCAAGACGAACUAAUGCGAAAGCAUUUGUCAAGAAUGUUUUUGUUAAUCAAGAACGAUAGUCAGAGUAUUGAAGAGGAUUAGAUACCCUCGUAAUUCUAACUGUAAACGAUACAUGCUUGAGAUCCGUCAUGUUUGAGUAGACUUGACGGGAAGUUAUCCGGAAAACCAAAGCUAAUAUGUUACGGGGGAAGUAUGGUUGCAAAAUCGAAACUUAAAGGAAUUGACGGAAGGGCACCACCAGGAGUGGAGCUUGCGGCUUAAUUUGACUCAACACGGGAAAACUCACCAGGACCAGACAUGGUAAGGAUUCACAUGUAAUUUUUUUCUGAUGAUUUCAUGGGUGGUGGUGCAUGGCCGUUCCUAGUUAGUGGAGUGAUCUGUCUGGUUGAUUCCGAUAACGAACGAGAUUUUAUCCUUCUUAAUAGACUGCACGAUUUUUCGUGUAAUCUUCUUAGAGGAACUAUGGGGAAUAUCUACCGUAAGGAAGUUGGGUCAUAACAGGUCUGUGAUGCCCUUAGAUGUUCUGGGCUGCACGCGUGCUACACUGAUAUUGCCAAUAUGUCAUUCUUAUCCGAAAUGGAUUGGGUAAUCAAGUAAUGAAAUUUCAUGCUUGGAAUCGGUAAUUGCAAUUUUAUCGUGAACGAGGAAUUCCUAGUAAGCACUAGUCAUCAGCUAAUGUUGAUUAUGUCCCUGCCCUUUGUACACACCGCCCGUCGCUACUACUGAUUGGGUGUUCAAGUGAGAUGCUUAGACCCUUGUUGCAUGGUUCAUUAUUGUGCUCCGAAAGGAAAAAGUUUCAAGCUUGAGUGUCUA